Long non-coding RNA from Amborella trichopoda, 1621 nucleotides. RefSeq lists it as uncharacterized. The record is from RefSeq and is a predicted model, not a curated record. NCBI's taxonomy places the organism in Eukaryota, Viridiplantae, Streptophyta, Magnoliopsida, Amborellales, Amborellaceae.
CUCAAUCCCCUUCUCUUUUCUCGGACCCUUACUUCAAAUCUCUUGUGCGAACUUCUAGUUUUGUCGUUUCAGAAGAUGGUACUUUCGACGAUCCUAACAAGGGCGGUUUUGUGGCCAGUCUCUCUCCCAUAUCGUAAUUUAAUGGGCCUCAUUUUCUACCAGUCCCCCUUUCGACAAGUUUACACCUGAAAUUGUUUAGUAAGAAACGUCUAGUGCCCACUGUGGGGCUCGUUAAGCUUCUGAUACUACAAAACUACUGAAGUGCCCCUCCAAACAUUGUCCCGAAGCGUCACCAAUAGGAGGAAGCUCGCACUCUGUUGUUUUCAGGUCUUUUCUAAGAAAUCCACUUGGCCACUGCAGUUCCAAUAGUUGCCGGAAAACUGUGGCUGGGACUGUCAAGUCCGCUCGAAAUUGUCGAUUGAAGCCAAGUACUCAUCGGGGUGGAUGAGCAAUGGCCGAGGAAGACCCAUGGAGGUUCGAGGGUUGUCAUAUCGGAUUUGGUUUACAGAGGAACGAGUCUCAACAGUGAACUGACAGAGACAAAGACAAGCCAAGAGUCCAGGUCCAGCACAACAACACAAACCUCAUUCACCACCACAACCGCAAGGUAAAAAAUGGAUGGAGAACUGAGUGAUGCUUCUUCUCAAGUAUCCAAUGCACCGCUUCAUAAUCUUGAAGCUUAUGACCCUGAUAUACCACAAUAUAUGGCACCCCUCCCUCCACCUCCAACUACCGAACAUCAAGGAAUCCCCCCCCAUAAUCGGAAAUAUUUUACAACGCACCUAAUUUAGACUUCCCGCCGAUAUCUUUUAAAAUAGGCUUCAGGAGAUUUUAAUGCGAGGUGGUGAACCCCUCCCCCAAUACACAGUUCGUAGUUACAAUCCUCCACGUGCUAUGGUAUUCCAAGUGACGGUAACUAUAUGCGGCCGCACAUUCCAGGCUGAGGCCUCAUGCACUAAAAAUGAUGCAGAGAAAUCUGCAGCUCGUGAGGCCCUUGUUUUUAUUAAUCUCCUCCAUACUUUGGCUGAUACAUUAUUUGAGACCCUUAGAGAGAACGAGGGCCUCCGACAGCUUCAAGCCAAAUGGUUAGCGCCCUAGAUGCCUCGCGCUUAAUUUCUGGGAGAGCUGAGAGAGAACUAUUAGGCAUUCAGAAUGCCAUGCAAGCUCUUUCACGAGAGUAUGAACUGGUAGUGAAUGUAAACAUCCAACUAAGUACCCAGCUCGCAGCUUACCGAAAUGAACCUCUCCCACCUCUUGAUUUCAAUUUGGAGGAUCUCUAGCCCAUUUAGAUGCUGACAGCCUCGUCCCAAUUUCCUUUUUAUGCCUCUUUCCUUUUUUAGUGGCAUAUGGUGGCCUUAGGGUCUACCAUAAUCGGUAUUGUUAAGUAUCGUGGCGGCGCUCAUCGAUUUUUUUGAGAUCCUUGGUGGAGGGUGGCAGGAGGGGAGGGGCUAGCCAAUGCAUGCAGCUAUGGAUCGAGGCUUGGAGCUUUCAUGAUCGUGGUCGUUGGUGGAGGGUACCGUCAUCAUACUUAUUUUUUUAUGUGCCCAUGGGGCGAACGCUUCUACUCUUAUCUUUUACAUUCCUCUUACUGUAAUUAUUUGCACAUUGUUGUGCAUUUAAU